This 387-nucleotide ribosomal RNA is filed under the name uncultured bacterium. RNAcentral describes it as "bacterial SSU rRNA". It matches the Rfam family "Bacterial small subunit ribosomal RNA", at positions 28 to 417 of the family's 1533-position model. The record is from RNAcentral.
GACGAACGCUGGCGGCGUGCUUAACACAUGCAAGUCGAGCGGUAAGGCCCUUUCGGGGGUACACGAGCGGCGAACGGGUGAGUAACACGUGGGUGACCUGCCUUUAGCUCUGGGAUAAGCCUGGGAAACUGGGUCUAAUACCGGAUACGACUCCGCGGUGCAUGCUGUGGGGUGGAAAGCCUUGUGCGGCUGGAGAUGGGCCCGCGGCCUAUCAGCUUGUUGGUGGGGUGAUGGCCACCAAGGCGACGACGGGUAGCCGGCCUGAGAGGGCGACCGGCCACACUGGGACUGAGACACGGCCCAGACUCCUACGGGAGGCAGCAGUGGGGAAUCUUGCGCAAUGGGCGAAAGCCUGACGCAGCGACGCCGCGUGAGGGAUGACGGCCU